CAGGAUGAUGCUUGAUAACAAGAUUUAUUUUAAGUAUGAAUAAAGGACACAUUACGGUUACGCAUUUGUAACAAGGCGUAGCAGUUUCGUAUCCAAAGCAAGGACAAGCAAAAUGAUGAUAGUUUUCCUCCUUGCGUUUGCAUUCUUGCACAUUUGUACCAGCCGAGAGAUCGUCAAAAAGAACGCUGUCAUUUUUUAUUUCAAAGAUACUGACGAAAGAGAUCUUGCUUUCGAUGAUAAACCAUCGAUCGAUGACGAGGUAGUGGACUUUAACGUUGACAAACAGGGACCUUUGGAAUACCCUGGAGAUUGCCACACGAAAAGGCUUAUCAAUUUUGCCAAAAAAGGAGGUUGCACGCUAAAAACAGGACCCCACAUAUCCGUCUACAGAGACGGCAAAUUCGUGACCAGUAUUCCUCAUAAUGUGAAAGACAAUCCAACCUGCGAGUCAAUCAUCGAUGAAUUAAACGAACAUUGCUCAAAGGCAUUUGAUAUGAAGUGAUUUGGCCAUGUUUCUGUAUUGAUUUAAAUAUAUCUUAAUAUUUGCUAUAGUUUGCACGUAAUUUGAGGUUCCGACAUAUUUCUCGUCUAAGAUGUAUUUGCAAUUUAAUAAACCAUUAAAAGGCCAUUGUAGAUCAAGGUAAGCUAUUAAUUCGCCUUAGGAAGUGUUUCUUACUUUACCAUACUUUAACUUAAUUUCGGCAAAAAUCUGACUUAUCAAAAUGCAUUUGUAUUUUUAAAAAAUCCCCGACAAACGAACGUCGUUAGGCUUGUAGUUUAAACAGUAUUGACCUAUAAAUUGUUGAGUACAAAGACAACAUCGCCAAUUAUUUCAUAUUUUACUUUCUUGAAAACAUGACUUGUUCUGUAUGAUUGUAGUAUAUUCAAUCCCUGUUCUUCGAAUAUCCUAAUAUAAUCCGUCUUUGCA
Molecule: long non-coding RNA, 928 nt
Organism: Mya arenaria
Lineage: Eukaryota; Metazoa; Mollusca; Bivalvia; Myida; Myidae
Exons: 3
Source: RefSeq, a predicted model, not a curated record